This 1063-nucleotide ribosomal RNA is filed under the name Dothideomycetes sp. genotype 748 JMUR-2016. Its description in RNAcentral is "eukaryotic LSU rRNA". The stretch from base 465 to 1063 matches the Rfam family "Eukaryotic large subunit ribosomal RNA", at positions 1 to 604 of the family's 3401-position model. Lineage: Eukaryota; Fungi; Ascomycota; Dothideomycetes. The record is from RNAcentral.
GAUCAUUAUCGUUGGGCUUCGGCCCAUUCGAGAUAACACCCUUGCCUUUUUGAGUACCUUUUCGUUUCCUCGGCAGGCUCGCCUGCCAACGGGGACCCUUCAAAACGCUUUGUAAUACCUGUAACUGUCUGAUAUAACAAGCAAAAAAUCAAAACUUUCAACAACGGAUCUCUUGGUUCUGGCAUCGAUGAAGAACGCAGCGAAAUGCGAUAAGUAGUGUGAAUUGCAGAAUUCAGUGAAUCAUCGAAUCUUUGAACGCACAUUGCGCCCUUUGGUAUUCCUUAGGGCAUGCCUGUUCGAGCGUCAUUUAAACCUUCAAGCUCAGCUUGGUGAUGGGUGACUGUCCUCCCCUCGCGGGGGGACUCGCCUCAAAAACAUUGGCGGCCGGUACAUUGGCUUCGAGCGCAGCAGAAACGCGGUCUCGAGUCCUGUGGAUCGGCUCCCAUGAACCUCUUCUUUUAUUUUGACCUCGGAUCAGGUAGGGAUACCCGCUGAACUUAAGCAUAUCAAUAAGCGGAGGAAAAGAAACCAACAGGGAUUGCCCUAGUAACGGCGAGUGAAGCGGCAACAGCUCAAAUUUGAAAUCUGGCCCUUUCAGGGUCCGAGUUGUAAUUUGUAGAGGGUGCUUUGGCGUUGGCUGUGGUCUAAGUUCCUUGGAACAGGACGUCGCAGAGGGUGAGAAUCCCGUAUGUGGCCGCCAGUCUUCGCCGUGUAAAGCCCCUUCGACGAGUCGAGUUGUUUGGGAAUGCAGCUCUAAAUGGGAGGUAAAUUUCUUCUAAAGCUAAAUAUUGGCCAGAGACCGAUAGCGCACAAGUAGAGUGAUCGAAAGAUGAAAAGCACUUUGGAAAGAGAGUCAAAAAGCACGUGAAAUUGUUGAAAGGGAAGCGCUUGCAGCCAGACUUGCCUGUAGUUGCUCAUCCGGGCUUUUGCCCGGUGCACUCUUCUAUGGGCAGGCCAGCAUCAGUCCCAGCGGUUGGAUAAAUGUCUGUUGAACGUACCUCUCUUCGGGGAGGACUUAUAGCUUCAGGCGGCAUACAACCAGCCGGGAUUGAGGUCCGCGCAU